Molecule: ribosomal RNA, 505 nt
Filed under: [Candida] sp. BG01-7-21-005A-1-2
Lineage: Eukaryota; Fungi; Ascomycota; Saccharomycetes; Saccharomycetales
Description: eukaryotic LSU rRNA
Rfam family: Eukaryotic large subunit ribosomal RNA
Source: RNAcentral
AUAUCAAUAAGCGGAGGAAAAGAAACCAACCGGGAUUGCCUCAGUAACGGCGAGUGAAGCGGCAAGAGCUCAAAUUUGGAACCGUACGCGGGUUGUAAUUUGAAGGCCAGUACUGGAGCGGGCGCCGCCUAUGUUCCUUGGAACAGGACGUCACAGAGGGUGAGAAUCCCGUGUGGCGGUUGCCUCAACCGUGGAGUACGCGCCGACGAGUCGAGUUGUUUGGGAAUGCAGCUCUAAGUGGGUGGUAAAUUCCAUCUAAAGCUAAAUAUUGGCGAGAGACCGAUAGCGAACAAGUACAGUGAUGGAAAGAUGAAAAGCACUCUGAAGAGAGAGUGAAACAGUACGUGAAAUUGUUGGAAGGGAAGGGCAUGGGGGUAGUCUGAGCAAUCGGGAAGGGGGAAUUCGUGGGGGUGUAUAAUGGCGCGGGAAUGUAGCUGCUUGCAGUGUUAUAGCCCGUGUUGAUGCGCCGCUGUGGAUUUGUUCUUCCAUAAUGUUCCCAUGCCGC